This 710-nucleotide ribosomal RNA is filed under the name Bulinus truncatus. Its description in RNAcentral is "12S ribosomal RNA". Lineage: Eukaryota; Metazoa; Mollusca; Gastropoda; Planorbidae. The record is from RNAcentral.
UUCACUUAAAAUCGAUGAAAAAAAUAGAAUUUAAUUGAACCAUAUAUGGAUUUUUUUUUAAUUCCAGCUGGAAAAUUUGAACAAUUUUAGAAAUAAAAAUUCAGUUCUUUAACAAUUUUUGACUAAUUAGGUGCCAGCAGUCGCGGUCAUACCUAAAAAAUGUUAUUUUUUCUUAGAAUGAAAUAAGAAUAAUAAAUAAUUUAUUUAGGUAAAAUUUUUAAAUUUAUUAAUUACCUAAAAUUCUUAAAAAUUUUCGAAACUCUAAAAUUAAACUAGGAUUAGAUACCCUAUUAUAAAAGAGCUUAAAAUUCUAUUCUAAGCACUAAAAUUUUUAAAAUUAAAACUUAAAAUUUUUGGCGGUAAAUCAAAUUUUCAGGGGAACUUACCAGGUAAUUGAUAACCCACAUGUUAUUUAACUUUUUUUAAUAGCUUAUAUAUUGCCGUUGUAACUUUACUUAAAGUAAAUUUAAUAAAUUUAUCUAAUAUAAUAACAGGUCAUAAUGUAGCAUAUGAGAAAGUCUUAAGGUGAGUUACAAUAUAAAAAACUUUUCAGAUAAAAUUUAGAAAAAAGUUUUUGAAGAUGGACUUGAAAGUAAUAAUUAAUAAUAAUAUUUGAAUAAUACUUUGGUUUGUGCACAAAUCGCCCGUCACUCUCUUUAAUUUAAAAAGAGAUAAGUCGUAACACAGUAGAGGUAAUGGAAAUUGUCUCU